Molecule: ribosomal RNA, 480 nt
Filed under: uncultured bacterium
Lineage: Bacteria
Description: partial 16S ribosomal RNA
Rfam family: Bacterial small subunit ribosomal RNA
Source: RNAcentral
AUUGAACGCUGGCGGCAUGCCUUACACAUGCAAGUCGAACGGUAACAGGUCUUCGGACGCUGACGAGUGGCGAACGGGUGAGUAAUGCAUCGGAACGUGCCCAGUCGUGGGGGAUAACUGCUCGAAAGAGCAGCUAAUACCGCAUACGACCUGAGGGUGAAAGCGGGGGACCGUAAGGCCUCGCGCGAUUGGAGCGGCCGAUGUCAGAUUAGCUAGUUGGUGGGGUAAAGGCCUACCAAGGCAACGAUCUGUAGUUGGUCUGAGAGGACGACCAGCCACACUGGGACUGAGACACGGCCCAGACUCCUACGGGAGGCAGCAGUGGGGAAUUUUGGACAAUGGGCGCAAGCCUGAUCCAGCAAUGCCGCGUGCAGGAAGAAGGCCUUCGGGUUGUAAACUGCUUUUGUCAGGGAAGAAAUCUUCUGGGCUAAUACCCCGGGAGGAUGACGGUACCUGAAGAAUAAGCACCGGCUAACUACG